Molecule: long non-coding RNA, 2587 nt
Organism: Sus scrofa (pig)
Lineage: Eukaryota; Metazoa; Chordata; Mammalia; Artiodactyla; Suidae
Source: RefSeq, a predicted model, not a curated record
CACCUAAAUCCACAUUGUCAAGCCUUUGGCUGUACUCUACUGGAGAAAAACGCUGCAGGGCUUUUUCUCCUCUUUCAAUGUCAACAGAGAACGAUGUCCCGGAACAAUUGAAUGGCUACCUCUUGGUCUCUGCAUGAUUAUCUUAAUACCAAAUACCAUUUGCUGGUGUGGGGACUCUGAGCAGUCCCUUGCAAGCAGCCCUGGCAAUGUGUGUUGAAAGAUUACUGAUGUCAGGAACCCUUUUUCGGGACUUGCCUCCUCUUGGUGGACCCCAGGUUGAGUUGCCUUCUGGGAGGACGACCAUAGAAUAGCUGGAAAAGAGAAGCUUCGAAGGUUCCUUCAGGCUUGACAGACAACUAAAACUUGUAGAGAGGGAAGUGGCAAGUGAGGGCAGUUUCCUCUUUAGGACUGCGGACAGGCAAAAUGGUUUUACUAGGUGAGGUGAAUAGGCUGUAUGGAGAUUGCUGAGGUGAUAGACCUACAUUGGGUCUUUCAUGGUAGAUCAUUUUUGUUGUUAUUAAUUGAAUGUUAGCUGAGAUUCAGCAGAAAUUCUGAGUACUUUAAGAAGAAAAGGAUUUAAUACAGGAGACUAGGCAUGUACAAAAUCAUCAGAUGACUGGACAAGUAGGUUCUAGACUGGGCCUCUAGCAAUGACUCCAGAACAUGGAAAAAGUGACCCACUGGGGGAAGAGGGGGGAGGUGGAGAAUUACAAAGCUGCCACAUUUAACCUUGAGUUAGAAAACCUGCUGAGUGGCUAUAAUCUUGGUAUCAGGAAAUCACCUGCUUUCUAGGUGUGGUACACAGACUCUGCUGUGGAAAAAUCCCACGUCUCCCACAACCUUGCUUGCCAAUAGGAACAGCCCAAAGUCGCAGGAAGAUGGGCCUCCCUCAUGCCUUCAGAUCUCCUGUUAGGGCAUCUAGCUGAAUUCAUGCCCAGAUCUAUAGCAGCAAGGGUAUCUGGGAAAUGUAGUUUUUAUCUUUCAAGCUUCUUCAGGAAGGCCUACUGGAAGGAGGUUGGAACAUCUAUGGGGUAAUUAUUGUCGAGAAUUCAACCCAUAUCCAGAGAGGGCUGAUCCCUUCAGCCUGCCAGCAGCUUCAGCUUCCCUGGCAGGGUGAGGAUGUGAGCUCACUGGAUAUUUCCAGGGCACGUUCCUUCAGGUAACCUGAAUGGCUGGGACAACAGUGAGGAUGACGGUAGAGGCAACAGCAGCCACAAAGAUAGCAGCUUCCAGUAGGGUGUCUUGUUAGAGUCAACUGGAUAUUAAAUCUGAAGACUGUCAGAAGAUAUAUUUGGCCCAGGCUUCUGUGGAGGGUGUCACACAGGAACUACAGCUGUCUACAGGAAGCAUCAGCCAUUCUUCUUCAGCUGGAGUUUUUGCAGCUGUAUAGCUCUGGUGCAAGGAUAUGAGAAACCCACCAGACAGGCCACAGCUGCAGCUGUUUCAAGGACGCAGCCUUGAGAGUGUAAGGUGCUGUUGAGACCAUGAGACCAUCUGGACUGAAUAUGUGAUGGAACCUAGCAUAGACAGGUCCUGUGAACAUAAUAAAAGGCAUGGAGGAGAAAAAAUGUCCCACUUGUUUAGGGGCAGCACGUUAAUGGGAUGUAGGAGAAGAAACUGAUGAAGAGGCUCUAGCCCUGGGUGCAUCUAUCCAUCACUGGGGCUGUGAAUCAUCCUUUUAUCCAGCGCAUCCUCCUGUCAAUCACUUAGCAGCCACCUUUGUUGUCGGAUGGACCCUUGAGAUAUCACAGUGCUUGUGUUCAUGUCACCCUCAUUUUACUUCCUAAUGGUCUCAAAGUGCAGGAGUAGUGAUACUGGCAAUUCAGGUGUGCCAAAGAAAAGCCUUCAAGUGCUUCCUAGAAGAGAAAAGGUGAAUUUUCUUGACUUAAAAUGGAAAGAAAAAUAUCAUAGACUGCAGUUGCUAAGAUCUAUGCUAAGAACAAAACUUUUACUCGAGAAAUUGUGAACAAAAAAGAAAUUUGUGCUGGUUUUUCUGUGGCUCCUAAAACUGCAAAAGUUAUAAUUCAGUGCAUGGUAAGUGCUUAGUUAAGAUGAAGAAGCUGUUGAAUUUAUAUAAUAAGAUAAUUUGAAAGAGACCACAUUCAUAUAAUUUUUAUUAGGGUAUAUUGUUAUAACUGUUUUACUUUAUUAUUAGCGAUUGUUGUUAACCUCUUACUGUGCCUAAUUUAUGAAUUAUACCUUAUGGUGGGAUGUAAGCAUAGGAAAAAACAAGGUGUAUAUGGGUUUGGUGUUAUCUGUGGUUUCAGGCAUCCACUGGAGUCCUGUGGGCAAGGGGAGAAUAUGGUAUUGGCCAAAUAUUGUUUCCUUGCUAAGAAUAUCCCUACAUGCUUCCCUCUACUCUUGGACUAGCCCAGUUGUCCUUACUUAGACUCUCACAGCCUUGAGUUUAUAGUCCUCAAUACUUUUAUACUAGCAUUUGUGUAGUUAUUUAAUUACUAUCUUGCUGCUUUCUCGCUGCUCUCUUAGACAGUAAGUCCCUUGAGGGAAGGGACAACUUAUGUCUUUUCACCUUUGCUCCCCUAAUGCUUUUUUUUUUUGUCUUUUUUAGGGCCUCACCUGUGGCAUA